This 346-nucleotide ribosomal RNA is filed under the name uncultured Lactobacillales bacterium. RNAcentral's name for it is "bacterial SSU rRNA". It matches the Rfam family "Bacterial small subunit ribosomal RNA", at positions 195 to 525 of the family's 1533-position model. The record is from RNAcentral. Lineage: Bacteria; Bacillati; Bacillota; Bacilli; Lactobacillales.
GGCGGCGUAAAGCUGUCGCUAAAAGGAUGGACCUGCGAUGCAUUAGCUAGUUGGUAAGGUAACAGGCUUACCAAGGCGAUGAUGCAUAGCCCGAGUUGAGAGACUGAUCGGGCCACAUUGGGACUGAGACACGGGCCAAACUCCUACGGGAGGCAGCAGUAGGGGAAUCUUCCACAAUGGACGAAAAGUCUGAUGGAGCAAACGCCGCGUGAGUGAAGAAGGUUUUCGAAUCGUAAAAAGCUCUGUUGUUGGUGAAGAAGGAUAGAGGUAGUAACUGGCCCUUUAUUUGACGGUAAUCAACCCAGAAAGUCACGGGCUAACUACGUGCCCAGCAGCCGCGGUAAAU